RNAcentral lists this ribosomal RNA (508 nucleotides) under uncultured bacterium. Its description in RNAcentral is "partial 16S ribosomal RNA". It matches the Rfam family "Bacterial small subunit ribosomal RNA", at positions 28 to 507 of the family's 1533-position model. The record is from RNAcentral.
GACGAACGCUGGCGGCGUGCCUAAUACAUGCAAGUCGAACGCUUCUUUCCUCCCGAGUGCUUGCACUCAAUUGGAAAGAGGAGUGGCGGACGGGUGAGUAACACGUGGGUAACCUACCCAUCAGAGGGGGAUAACACUUGGAAACAGGUGCUAAUACCGCAUAACAGUUUAUGCCGCAUGGCAUAAGAGUGAAAGGCGCUUUCGGGUGUCGCUGAUGGAUGGACCCGCGGUGCAUUAGCUAGUUGGUGAGGUAACGGCUCACCAAGGCCACGAUGCAUAGCCGACCUGAGAGGGUGAUCGGCCACACUGGGACUGAGACACGGCCCAGACUCCUGCGGGAGGCAGCAGUAGGGAAUCUUCGGCAAUGGACGAAAGUCUGACCGAGCAACGCCGCGUGAGUGAAGAAGGUUUUCGGAUCGUAAAACUCUGUUGUUAGAGAAGAACAAGGACGUUAGUAACUGAACGUCCCCUGACGGUAUCUAACCAGAAAGCCACGGCUAACUACGUG